Myotis lucifugus (little brown bat) is the source of this 75-nucleotide non-coding RNA. The record is from Rfam. Lineage: Eukaryota; Metazoa; Chordata; Mammalia; Chiroptera; Vespertilionidae.
GGCAGUUCUCGGGUGACGCAUCCUAGAAUUGGGCUCCCUCCUCUCUGGUUCCGGGUGCAUCACCCAAGAACCGCA